RNAcentral lists this ribosomal RNA (221 nucleotides) under uncultured bacterium. Its description in RNAcentral is "partial 16S ribosomal RNA". It matches the Rfam family "Bacterial small subunit ribosomal RNA", at positions 113 to 334 of the family's 1533-position model. The record is from RNAcentral.
CGACGUGAGUAACCUGCCUCUAAGAGGGGAAUAACAUUCUGAAAAGAAUGCUAAUACCGCAUAACAUAUAUUUAUCGCAUGGUAGAUAUAUCAAAGAUUUAUCGCUUAGAGAUGGACUCGCGUCCGAUUAGUUAGUUGGUGAGGUAACGGCUCACCAAGACUGCGAUCGGUAGCCGGACUGAGAGGUUGAACGGCCACAUUGGGACUGAGACACGGCCCAA